CACCGCCAGCGACUGUCUUCAUGCAGGAUCCACAGUGCCAGAUCCCCACGGCUCGCCUCUUCAUCUUGGUUUUGCCACAGAAGGAGCAGGUGUACUUGGCGUGCUGGCUGAUCUCAAUCUUCUUCACCAUUUUCCGGAGGGAGGCGCCAUAACGGGUCCCGUAUUUACCGACGAUUCCGACCUUCUUGGUGCGUUUAGCCAUGUCGCCGUGCGAACUAAGCCCGACGUCGAGAGCCCAGGUCUGCACACCAGUCACAG
Long non-coding RNA from Pipistrellus kuhlii (Kuhl's pipistrelle), 258 nucleotides. RefSeq lists it as uncharacterized. NCBI's taxonomy places the organism in Eukaryota, Metazoa, Chordata, Mammalia, Chiroptera, Vespertilionidae. The record is from RefSeq and is a predicted model, not a curated record. The transcript is spliced from 3 exons.